UGAGAAGAUCCCACGGACACAAGACAAAGUCUUGUGACCUCUGCUCCUUCCAAGCAUGGAUUUGUUCUUGGAAGGUGCUUUCAUACCCCUCAGGAAGCAGUGUCUUAGCCCUUAAAGAAUGAGGUGUCGACCUGUGGGGAACCAGCUCAUCAUAUGUAAAUGAGGGGCAUCAGAACUAUUUUUAAUGUGCUGAUCUUACACAUAUAAAUACCUGUUCAUAUCCAGAUGAUCUAAAAAUAAGGCUUCAAAGGAGCACAAGAAUAUCCAACACUUCGUUCUUCCUGGCCCUACUGAUAAAGUUGAAAAAUGAAAGUGCUGAUGCUGAUGGGUUUCCUUGUGCUCACAGCUCACUGUGUCCCAGUAUCAAGAUUCCCUGGCAAGAUUAUUCUCUGCUAUCCUUUCUUAAACUGGAAGCAGUGCCAGAGGCUCUGUGAAUCCUUGAAACUCUGCGGGAAACCACCAAGGAACAGAACAACUCCCACGGCCCCCUCAUUUUUACCCACCAAAAAAACUAACUUUUCUCUGACUGUGAGUCCUCCAGUUCCUCUUACACCCGACAGGCGGGGAGAUUCGAGAUAAGUACAGUUCUUCACAGCCCAGAGAAACUUCCUACCCCCCCACGGUCUAUGCUACAGCCAGAUCACACUACCAGAUUACAGUUCCUGUACCACAGUGUCUCCUUCCAGUAUAAAGCUGCAAUAAAACGCUGACAUCACACUGUUGCUUA
Molecule: non-coding RNA, 727 nt
Organism: Peromyscus maniculatus bairdii (prairie deer mouse)
Lineage: Eukaryota; Metazoa; Chordata; Mammalia; Rodentia; Cricetidae
Source: RefSeq, a predicted model, not a curated record